This 484-nucleotide ribosomal RNA is filed under the name uncultured bacterium. RNAcentral's name for it is "partial 16S ribosomal RNA". It matches the Rfam family "Bacterial small subunit ribosomal RNA", at positions 30 to 507 of the family's 1533-position model. The record is from RNAcentral.
AUUGAACGCUGGCGGCAGGCCUAACACAUGCAAGUCGAGCGGAUGAAGGGAGCUUGCUCCUGGAUUCAGCGGCGGACGGGUGAGUAAUGCCUAGGAAUCUGCCGGGUAGUGGGGGAUAACGUCCUGAAACGGGCGCUAAUACCGCAUACGUCCUGAAGGAGAAAGUGGGUGAUCUUCGGACCUCACGCUAUCAUAUGAGCCUAGGUCGGAUUAGCUAGUUGGUGGGGUAAAUGCCUACCAAGGCGACGAUCCGUAACUGGUCUGAGAGGAUGAUCAGUCACACUGGAACUGAGACACGGUCCAGAGUCCUACGGGAGGCAGCAGUGGGGAAUAUUGGCCGAUGGGUGAAAGCCUGCUCCAGCCAUGCCGAGUGUGUGAAGACGGUCUUAGGAUUGUAAAGCACUUUAAGUUGGGAGGACGAGCAGUAAGUUCAUACCUUGUCGUUUUGACGUUAACAACAGAAUAAGCACCGGCUAACUCCGUG